UGCCUGGCGGCUGUAGCGCGGUGGUCCCACCUGACCCCAUGCCGAACUCAGAAGUGAAACGCCGUAGCGCCGAUGAUAGUGUGGGGCCUCCCCAUGCGAGAGUAGGGAACUGCCAGGCAU
This 120-nucleotide ribosomal RNA is filed under the name Pantoea anthophila. Lineage: Bacteria; Pseudomonadati; Pseudomonadota; Gammaproteobacteria; Enterobacterales; Erwiniaceae. The record is from RNAcentral.